Molecule: ribosomal RNA, 253 nt
Filed under: uncultured bacterium
Lineage: Bacteria
Description: partial 16S ribosomal RNA
Rfam family: Bacterial small subunit ribosomal RNA
Source: RNAcentral
UACGUAGGUGGCGAGCGUUGUCCGGAAUUACUGGGUGUAAAGCGCGUGUAGGCGGCAGGCCAAGUCGGUGGUGAAAGCGCCCGGCUCAACUGGGCGAGGUCCAUGGAAACUGGUCAGCUGGAGGACGGUAGAGGCGAGUGGAAUUCCCGGUGUAGUGGUGAAAUUCGUAGAUAUUCGGAAGAACACCAGUGGCGAAGGCGGCUCACUGGCCCGGUUCUGACGCUGAGGUGCGAAAGCGUGGGGAGCAAACAGG